UCGCUACUACCGAUUGAAUGGUUUAGUGAGGCCUUCGGAUCGGCAACUCGUUUGCUGAAAAGUUGGACAAACUACAUCAUUUAGAGGAAGUAAAAGUCGUAACAAGGUUUCCG
Molecule: ribosomal RNA, 113 nt
Filed under: uncultured eukaryote
Lineage: Eukaryota
Description: partial small subunit ribosomal RNA
Rfam family: Eukaryotic small subunit ribosomal RNA
Source: RNAcentral